Molecule: ribosomal RNA, 229 nt
Filed under: uncultured bacterium
Lineage: Bacteria
Description: partial 16S ribosomal RNA
Rfam family: Bacterial small subunit ribosomal RNA
Source: RNAcentral
UGGGCAACCUGCCUCUAGCUCUGGGAUAACUCCGGGAAACCGGGCUAAUACCGGAUACGACCUCGAGCGGCAUCUAUCGAGGUGGAAAGUUUUUCGGCUAGAGAUGGGCCCGCGGCCUAUCAGCUUGUUGGUGAGGUAACGGCCCACCAAGGCGACGACGGGUAGCCGGCCUGAGAGGGCGACCGGCCACACUGGGACUGAGAUACGGCCCAGACUCCUACGGGAGGCA